This 1539-nucleotide non-coding RNA is filed under the name Streptomyces swartbergensis. Its description in RNAcentral is "Bacterial large subunit ribosomal RNA". It matches the Rfam family "Bacterial large subunit ribosomal RNA", at positions 1 to 1466 of the family's 2925-position model. The record is from Rfam by way of RNAcentral. Lineage: Bacteria; Bacillati; Actinomycetota; Actinomycetes; Kitasatosporales; Streptomycetaceae.
GGCCAAGUUUUUAAGGGCGCACGGUGGAUGCCUUGGCACCAGGAACCGAUGAAGGACGUGGGAGGCCACGAUAGGCCCCGGGGAGUCGUCAACCAGGCUUUGAUCCGGGGGUGUCCGAAUGGGGAAACCCGGCAGUCGUCAUGGGCUGUCACCCGCUGCUGAACACAUAGGCAGUGUGGAGGGAACGCGGGGAAGUGAAACAUCUCAGUACCCGCAGGAAGAGAAAACAACCGUGAUUCCGGGAGUAGUGGCGAGCGAAACCGGAUGAGGCCAAACCGUAUGCGUGUGAGACCCGGCAGGGGUUGCGUAUACGGGGUUGUGGGAUCUCUCUUUYAUGGUCUGCCGGCCRUGAGACGAGUCAGAAACCGUUGAUGUAGGCGAAGGACAUGCGAAAGGUCCGGCGUAGAGGGUAAGACCCCCGUAGUCGAAACAUCAGCGGCUCGUUUGAGAGACACCCAAGUAGCACGGGGCCCGAGAAAUCCCGUGUGAAUCUGGCGGGACCACCCGCUAAGCCUAAAUAUUCCCUGGUGACCGAUAGCGGAUAGUACCGUGAGGGAAUGGUGAAAAGUACCGCGGGAGCGGAGUGAAAUAGUACCUGAAACCGUGUGCCUACAAGCCGUGGGAGCGUCGGGCAAGCACUUGUGUUUGCCUCGUGACUGCGUGCCUUUUGAAGAAUGAGCCUGCGAGUUUGCGGUGUGUUGCGAGGUUAACCCGUGUGGGGAAGCCGUAGCGAAAGCGAGUCCGAAUAGGGCGGUGGAGUAGCACGCUCAAGACCCGAAGCGGAGUGAUCUAGCCAUGGGCAGGUUGAAGCGGAGGUAAGACUUCGUGGAGGACCGAACCCACCAGGGUUGAAAACCUGGGGGAUGACCUGUGGUUAGGGGUGAAAGGCCAAUCAAACUCCGUGAUAGCUGGUUCUCCCCGAAAUGCAUUUAGGUGCAGCGUCGUGUGUUUCUUGCCGGAGGUAGAGCACUGGAUAGGCGAUGGGCCCUACCGGGUUACUGACCUUAGCCAAACUCCGAAUGCCGGUAAGUGAGAGCGCGGCAGUGAGACUGUGGGGGAUAAGCUCCAUGGUCGAGAGGGAAACAGCCCAGAGCAUCGACUAAGGCCCCUAAGCGUACGCUAAGUGGGAAAGGAUGUGGAGUCGCACAGACAACCAGGAGGUUGGCUUAGAAGCAGCCACCCUUGAAAGAGUGCGUAAUAGCUCACUGGUCUAGUGAUUCCGCGCCGACAAUGUAGCGGGGCUCAAGCGUACCGCCGAAGUCGUGUCAUUCACACAAUAGGGCCAACGCCUGUGUGGAUGGGUAGGGGAGCGUCGUGUGCCGGGUGAAGCAGCCGUGUAAGCGAGUUGUGGACGGUUCACGAGUGAGAAUGCAGGCAUGAGUAGCGAUACACACGUGAGAAACGUGUGCGCCGAUUGACUAAGGGUUCCUGGGUCAAGCUGAUCUGCCCAGGGUAAGUCGGGACCUAAGGCGAGGCCGACAGGCGUAGUCGAUGGAUAACCGGUUGAUAUUCCGGUACCCGCUGUGAAGCGUCAAACAU